GACGAACGCUGGCGGCGUGCUUAACACAUGCAAGUCGAACGCUGAAGCUCAGCUUUUGUUGGGUGGAUGAGUGGCGAACGGGUGAGUAACACGUGAGUAACCUGCCCCCUUCUUUGGGAUAACGCCCGGAAACGGGUGCUAAUACUGGAUAUUCACUGGUCUUCGCAUGGGGGUUGGUGGAAAGGGUUUUUCUGGUGGGGGAUGGGCUCGCGGCCUAUCAGCUUGUUGGUGGGGUGAUGGCCUACCAAGGCUUUGACGGGUAGCCGGCCUGGGAGGGUGACCGGUCACAGAGGGACAGAGAUCCGGCCCAGACUCCGACGGGAGGCAGCAGUGGGGAAGAUUGCACAAUGGGGGAAAGCCUGAUGCAGCGACGCCGCGGGAGGGAUGGAGGCCUUCGGGUUGUGAACCUCUUUCGCUCAUGGUCAAGCCGCAACAAUGGUUGUGGUGAGGGUAGUGGGUAAAGAAGCGCCGGCUAACUACGUG
This 483-nucleotide ribosomal RNA is filed under the name uncultured bacterium. RNAcentral's name for it is "partial 16S ribosomal RNA". It matches the Rfam family "Bacterial small subunit ribosomal RNA", at positions 28 to 507 of the family's 1533-position model. The record is from RNAcentral.